CCCCAGGCUCGCGCCCGCCCCGGGCCGGUUCUUGUGAGCGUCAACUCUGUUGACUGCUUCGUGGUCGCCAACCCACGGGCACUGCUCUUAGUUUGUCACCGUGGUGGGAAGACGUUGGCCAAGAACUGUUUUCCUUGGAGAGAGCUCUCACACAGUCUGAGAGAAAAUUAGUAUUAAAGGUUGUCUGCUCUAGAGGAGAAAAGAGUGAUUCAAAGGACUGUGGAGACCUGAGAUGUCAGUGGAGGCACCUGGCAGUGAACUAUAUUGCUCUUACGAAUGGCUUUAUAAGGGGCACCUGGGUGGAUCAGUUGAUUAAGCCACCCGCUCUUGGUUUUGGCUCAGGUCAUGAUUUCACAGUUCCUGGGGUUCGAGCCCCCGCCAGGCCCCGAAAUCUUCCGAAAAGAAUCCUGGGCGAGGCCAGGCAAGCACGAGAAAGACUCGAAGCGUUCCAAGUGGGAACCUACUGGGCUCUGCUCAGAAGGAAACGCUGCAAAGAGUGCGGAGGAGCCGGGGGAGUGCGGGACGCCUCCUCUUGCCUUCAGAGCGUUGCCUCUUAACAGCAGAAGCUCACGCUAACUUGGCUUUGCUGUCAGUCUUGAGGGAGCCCCCCCAUUGGUCUCCUGCAGCGCAGUGCCCCAGCUCCCCCAGCCCGGGAUUGUCUAGUUUAUUAGGCACGUGUUAAACAGCCAGCCACGCCAGUGGGCAGGGUGUAAGAAAGUACCUGGCACCUGGAGGCGAAUGGAAAUAAAGCUGGAGUUCUGGUCCAGAUAAGGAAACUGAGGCUCAGAGGUGACUUGCCCAAGAUCACUUAUCCCCCAAAUCAGAGUGAAAUAAUGAGGAAGGCCUCAUCUAUUUGAGACUGUAUCUACUCAAGGUUGGAUCAAAUUGAAGAACAGAGUUGUGGAAACAGCACUGGACUGGCAGCCAGAGGACUUAGGAGUUUGCUGUGUGAUUUGGGUAAGCCCUUUUAUUGGCUGGCCUUUGGCUCUCUAUGUAUAUGAUGGAAAGGUAGGGCUGGAUGUGCCUUUCAGGACCAAAACUCUGAUGACUGCACAGAAGUAUUCACUGUAA
Long non-coding RNA from Neofelis nebulosa (Clouded leopard), 1071 nucleotides. RefSeq lists it as uncharacterized. Lineage: Eukaryota; Metazoa; Chordata; Mammalia; Carnivora; Felidae. The transcript is spliced from 3 exons. The record is from RefSeq and is a predicted model, not a curated record.